Exaiptasia diaphana is the source of this 1181-nucleotide long non-coding RNA. RefSeq lists it as uncharacterized. The transcript has 3 exons. The record is from RefSeq and is a predicted model, not a curated record. NCBI's taxonomy places the organism in Eukaryota, Metazoa, Cnidaria, Anthozoa, Actiniaria, Aiptasiidae.
GUAAAUGGCAUUCAAUGCUGUAUUCUGGGAAGAUCAUCCCCAUCCAAGAACACAACAGCUUUACAACAAUGAGGGGAAAAAUACAAACRUGGCAUCGGUUUCAUCAGGUCCAUGCUCAUCUCGUGACAGACACAGUGUGUGACGUCACAUGUUGCGUGACGUCUCGUGAUGUGUGACGUCAGGUAUGGUGUGACGUCACAUGUUUAUAACGUGCCUGUAUCAACAUUAACGUACAAAGUUUACAAGUUGAAUACCAAGACGUGGGAAUACAAGCAUUACAUARAGGAUUCAACGUCCAGAUUCUCUCCGUUCUUUUUGUACCAGCAAUCGUUUAAGAGAAGAAAACUUCAUUAUCAAGAAUUUUUUAAAGCUUCCUGGUCAAUUUCCAAUUCAUUAGACUCAACCUGAUUUCAGCUACACUGCGCAAUUGGGGAAGACGCAACUAUUUGUGCAUAUAGUUUCUAUGGUAACGUGGACACAACUUUCUAAAUAUAAUGCUAAAAGCUGUGUAUGAAUGGUCCAAAAGACUGGCCAGAACUGGAAACUGUAGUCAUAUGUAUGAUGAACAUGUUGCUAUUUAUAUCAAGAACCUGGACGUCGUUGUGUUUCUGUAAUGUCCAGGAAUUUACUGGAAAAACAGUGUUCAAGAUGAACCGCUGUACAAGAAAUCUUUUGCUAUUUAUUCCAAGGGCCUGGUCCUGUCAGAGGUUAUGUGAUUUCAACGAAGAAUCUGGAAUAACAGUGUUCAAAGCCUCCCGGGAAUUAGAAUUGUUCUAGCUCGUGUAUAUAAGCUCCAUGACCACUUGUAACUUUUAGCAUGAUUAUGAUUUUGCAAUAAAAUCGAAAUAUAGCUGUCAUUACGAUCUUCUGUACAUAAUUCAAAAGUUGAAUUUGCACAGUAUGCUUUCCAUCCUUGGAUUAUCACUCGUCUUACUAUAUGCCAAUUGUCGGAUGGUUCUGUUUUUUUAGUGUUCAAGGUGUAUAUGGAAUGUGACCAAUACAAUAAUAUUGAGGAAAUGAGGAAAGGCUUUGUAUUCUCAUUAACCUAUUUUCCUUCUCUAUUCAAACUUUUCUUUCCUGAAUCAUCAAUGUUUGUUGUACCAUUUGUAAAAUCUUUCUUUUUUUUAAUUUUGUUUCUUCUUUCUACUGUGCAUUUUCUGAUUAAACAAAUCUAUUUUCAC